Molecule: non-coding RNA, 73 nt
Organism: Trichonephila clavata
Lineage: Eukaryota; Metazoa; Arthropoda; Arachnida; Araneae; Nephilidae
Source: the annotation of a GenBank genome assembly
GUCCCUGUAGCGCAAUGGACAGCGCAUUGUACUUCUUAUCCAAAGGUAGUGGGCUCGAAUCCCACUUGGGAUG